UGAAACGCCCGGUCCCAUUCCGAACCCGGAAGCUAAGCCCUCCAGCGCCGAUGGUACUGCACUCGACAGGGUGUGGGAGAGUAGGACACCGCCGAAC
RNAcentral lists this ribosomal RNA (97 nucleotides) under Rhodococcus sp. 05-2255-3C. The record is from RNAcentral. Lineage: Bacteria; Bacillati; Actinomycetota; Actinomycetes; Mycobacteriales; Nocardiaceae.